Pelobates cultripes (western spadefoot toad) is the source of this 430-nucleotide non-coding RNA. The record is from the annotation of a GenBank genome assembly. Lineage: Eukaryota; Metazoa; Chordata; Amphibia; Anura; Pelobatidae.
GCUCAAACACCCUAUGGCGCACCGGAAUCCCAUUUACCCCCAACAUGAACUUGGAGACCCUCCGGUUCAAUUUAACCCGACAACGGUCCAUUGCCCGUUGAUUAUGGGCCCGCUGCCAGUAAUUUCGUGAAAUUACCUCAGACCAGACCAGUCGAACGUCCGGGAACAGAAACAAUACCCGCGCUAAAUCCCUCUUAAUUGCGUUCCCCAACCCCCAAAUAGGCAUAGUCCCGAGAUCAUUACCCCCCAGGUGAAUUACAAGGACACUAGGUGGACCCAAAAGCCGGGCAAGCUGAAUUAGCUCAGGGAGGAGCCGGACCCACUUCAUACCUCUAUUCCCAAACCAGCGAACCUCCGCUUCAGAAGGCGUGAAACCAAGCAGCUCACCUCCCGGACGGACAGCCGCCCGCCGUCUGGCCCAGAAGACAUA